This 78-nucleotide small RNA is filed under the name Sinorhizobium meliloti 2011. Its description in RNAcentral is "putative ncRNA". The record is from RNAcentral. Lineage: Bacteria; Pseudomonadati; Pseudomonadota; Alphaproteobacteria; Hyphomicrobiales; Rhizobiaceae.
GCGCCGCAUUCCGCGGCACCAGGUCCCCCAACCUGUUCAGAGUGCCCGCCACCAUCCCCUGGUGCGGGCACUCACUCU